This 435-nucleotide ribosomal RNA is filed under the name crenarchaeote SCGC AAA288-B11. RNAcentral describes it as "SSU rRNA". It matches the Rfam family "Archaeal small subunit ribosomal RNA", at positions 452 to 886 of the family's 1478-position model. Lineage: Archaea; Thermoproteati; Thermoproteota. The record is from RNAcentral.
CUGCCUGUCAGCAGCCGCGGUAAAACCAGCACCUCAAGUGGUCAGGAUGAUUAUUGGGCCUAAAGCAUCCGUAGCCGGCUCUGUAAGUUUUCGGUUAAAUCUAUGCGCUCAACGUAUGGGCUGCCGAAAAUACUGUAGAGAUAGGGAGUGGGAGAGGUAGACGGUACUCGGUAGGAAGGGGUAAAAUCCUUUGAUCUAUCGAUGACCACCUGUGGCGAAGGCGGUCUACCAGAACACGUUCGACGGUGAGGGAUGAAAGCUGGGGGAGCAAACCGGAUUAGAUACCCGGGUAGUCCCAGCUGUAAACGAUGCAGACUCGAUGAUGCAUUGGCAUAUAGCCAGUGCAGUGUCGCAGGGAAGCCGUUAAGUCUGCCGCCUGGGAAGUACGUACGCAAGUAUGAAACUUAAAGGAAUUGGCGGGGGAGCACGGUCAAG